GAUGAACGCUGGCGGCGUGCCUAAUACAUGCAAGUCGAGCGAACGGACGAGAAGCUUGCUUCUCUGAUGUUAGCGGCGGACGGGUGAGUAACACGUGGAUAACCUACCUAUAAGACUGGGAUAACUUCGGGAAACCGGAGCUAAUACCGGAUAAUAUUUUGAACCGCAUGGUUCAAAAGUGAAAGACGGUCUUGCUGUCACUUAUAGAUGGAUCCGCGCUGCAUUAGCUAGUUGGUAAGGUAACGGCUUACCAAGGCAACGAUGCAUAGCCGACCUGAGAGGGUGAUCGGCCACACUGGAAGUGAGACACGGUCCAGACUCCUACGGGAGGCAGCAGUAGGGAAUCUUCCGCAAUGGGCGAACGCCUGACGGAGCAACGGCGCGUGAGUGAUGAAGGUCUUCGGAUCGUAAAACUCUGUUAUUAGGGAAGAACAUAUGUGUAAGUAACUGUGCACAUCUUGACGGUACCUAAUCAGAAAGCCACGGCUAACUACGUG
Molecule: ribosomal RNA, 497 nt
Filed under: uncultured bacterium
Lineage: Bacteria
Description: partial 16S ribosomal RNA
Rfam family: Bacterial small subunit ribosomal RNA
Source: RNAcentral